GACGUAGGGCGCGAGCGUUGUCCGGAUUUAUUGGGCGUAAAGAGCUCGUAGGCGGCUUGUCGCGUCGUCCGUGAAAACCUGCGGCUCAACUGCAGGCUGGCGGUCGAUACGGGCAGGCUGGAGUUCGGUAGGGGAGACUGGAAUUCCUGGUGUAGCGGUGAAAUGCGUAGAGAUCCGGAGGAACCCCAGAGGCGAAGGCGGCGCCCUGGCUCGCAACUGACGCUCAGACACGACAGCAUGGGGAGCGAACGGG
Molecule: ribosomal RNA, 253 nt
Filed under: uncultured bacterium
Lineage: Bacteria
Description: partial 16S ribosomal RNA
Rfam family: Bacterial small subunit ribosomal RNA
Source: RNAcentral